UGAACGCUGGCGGCGUGGUUAAGACAUGCAAGUCGCACGGAUCUAGCAAUAGGUCAGUGGCGAACGGGUGAGUAAUGAAUCGCUAACGUACCCUGGAGUCAGGGAUAGCUGCCCGAAAGGGCAGGUAAUACCUGAUGAGACCCCGGCACCGCAUGGUGCAGAGCUCAAAGCAGUAAUGCGCUCCAGGAGCGGGCGAUUUCGUAUCAGCUAGUUGGUGAGGUAACGGCUCACCAAGGCGACGACGCGUAGCCGGACUGAGAGGUCGGUCGGCCACAUCGGGACUGAGACACUGCCCGGACUCCUACGGGGGGCUGCAGUAACGAAUCUUCGGCAAUGCGCGAAAGCGUGACCGAGCGACGCCGCGUGGAGGACGAAGUCCUUCGGGAUGUAAACUCCUGUCAGGGGUUAGAAAGACCUGAUCAACCCCAGAGGAAGGGGCGGCUAACUCUGUGCCAGCAGCCGCGGUAAGACAGAGGCCCCAAGCGUUAGGCGGAAUCACUGGGUUUAAAGCGUGUGUAGGCGGAUGCCUAAGUGCCUCGUGAAAUCCCACGGCUCAACCGUGGAAUGGCUUGGCAUACUGGGCAUCUUGAGUCAUCCAGGGGUCGCUGGAACAAACGGUGGAGCGGUGAAAUGCGUAGAUAUCGUUUGGAACGCCAACGGUGAAAACAGGCGACUGGGGAUGUUCUGACGCUGAGACACGAAAGCCAGGGGAGCAAACGGGAUUAGAUACCCCGGUAGUCCUGGCCCUAAACGAUGUCCACUAGAUCGCAGGCCCUCUGGCGGGGCUUGUGGUCGAAGCAAAAGUGUUAAGUGGACCGCCUGGGAAGUACGGUCGCAAGGCUAAAACUCAAAGGAAUUGACGGGGGCUCACACAAGCGGUGGAGCAUGUGGUUCAAUUCGAAGCAACGCGCAGAACCUUACCUGGGCUUGACAUGCCUGGAUUAUCCCCAUGAAAGUGGGGUAGGCCCUUCGGGGUACAACAGGCACAGGUGCUGCAUGGCUGUCGUCAGCUCGUGUCGUGAGAUGUCGGGUUAAGUCCCAUAACGAGCGAAACCUUUGCCCUUAGUUACCAGCGGGUUAUGCCGGGGACUCUAAGGGGACUGCCGGUGUCAAACCGGAGGAAGGUGGAGAUGACGUCAAGUCCUCAUGGCCUUUAUGCCCAGGGCCACACACGUGCUACAAUGCCGCCCACAAAGCGACCCAAAAGCGCAAGCUCGAGGAAAUCGCAGAAAUGGCGGCCCAGUUCAGAUUGGAGGCUGCAACUCGCCUCCAUGAAGUUGGAAUCGCUAGUAAUCGCGGAUCAGCUACGCCGCGGUGAAUGUGUUCCUGAGCCUUGUACACACCGCCCGUCAAGUCAUGGGAGCCGGGAAUAGCCGAAGUCGCUUCAUUUCAGAAGUGCCUACGCUAGGCUCGGUGACUGGG
Molecule: ribosomal RNA, 1422 nt
Filed under: uncultured bacterium
Lineage: Bacteria
Description: 16S ribosomal RNA
Rfam family: Bacterial small subunit ribosomal RNA
Source: RNAcentral